GCCCGCAAUCCCGCCGCGGCCGCCCGCAACCCUGCACGCCACCAAUCCCGCCGCGACCAAUCCCACCCGCACGCCCGCCCGCACCUCAAGCACCACGAAUCCCGCGUCUCCCCCGCCGCCGAACCCGCCUCCACCCGCACCCCGCCUGCGGAGCCGCUCCCCACCUCCGCCCGCCCGCCCGCGCCCGACCUCCGGAAACCCCGCCGUGCUUCCAACCGCCUCCUCAAACCACGCCGCAAACCCCACCGCACACAGCUUCACUUCCACCGCACAGAUCUACGUGUUCGGGGCCUUCUCGCCGCCGGCGACCAUGGCGCACCCCGCCUGCGGAGCCGCUCCCCACCUCCGCCCACCCGCCCGCCCAACCUCCAGAAAAAAAAGAGAAACCCACUGUCUCCGCUCCGACUAGCCCAGGCCAGCAGAAACCCACUGUCUCCGCUCCGACUCCCUUUUCCUCUCUCUCUCUCGUUCUCAUCCAUCCAGCCAGGCGAGCCAACAAGCAAGCAAAAGUAAACGGGGCGAGGAGCUGCGGCUGAGCAGGAGGAGGGAGCCGGAGAUGGUGGGUCUCGUCGGCGGCAGCACGGCGCGGGCGGAGCACGUCGUCGCCAACGCCGGAGGGGAGGCAGAGUACGUGCGCCGCAUGCACCGCCACGCGCCGACCGAGCACCAGUGCACCUCCACCCUCGUCAAGCACAUCAAGGCGCCCGUCCACCUCGUGUGGGAGCUGGUGCGGAGGUUCGACCAGCCGCAGCGGUACAAGCCAUUCGUCAGGAACUGCGUCGUGCGCGGGGACCAGCUCGAGGUGGGCAGCCUGCGCGACGUCAACGUCAAUCCCGGCCUUGAUAUGCCCGCGACUGUAGCUUGUGAAAUCAAGGCACAGCUUGUCCGCACAGCCGAGGCGGCUAGGCAGCUCGCGCCAAUGCUCGAAGUCGGGAGGCCAAGCUACCAAGGCCGCAGCUCAGUCUACCAAUCUUCCUCAAAGAUGAUGUCGGCUAUCUCCGUGGCUCAUUUGGGGUGCAAAGACAUGGACGUCGUGGACGUCGGAGUGGUAGGGAUGGUGGACUCGCAGAGCCUAUCCUCGGCACUUGAGAAACUCUAUUUCUGGGAGAGGAAGCUGUAUGCUGAGGUCAAGAUUGUAGGCUGUGGAGUACGGAGUUCACAAAAUCUAGGAGAUGAACAACCUCAGGGUAACCCUCUCAUUGUCUCAUGCCAGCAGCCGCACCCACGUCCUGUUCUGUCUCGCACGCUCUCGCCAACUUGUGGUUGUCCAUCCGCCGCCAAGCACCCGACCCCAGCAGUCGCAAUGUCAGUGUUUUUCUUUCACAGCAAGCUUCUGUUCUGAAAUUAUAUUGUCUAUGAUUUGUAACUUGCUUGGUGGUAUCAACAAGCUUUUGUCUGGUCCUUGAUCGGGUAGGCGAUUGCGUUGUGCAUGGCGGACUUGAGACAGUUGAUGGUUUGUCCGAAGCAUUGGAAAUCUGAGAAUUACUUCUGUGAAAAUUAUACGGAACAAGCAGACUGGGCACUCAGAAGGCUAUGGUUUUAUUGAGUUUUCCUCUCGAGCUACUGCAGAACAUACUCUGAUAAACUUCAAUCGGCAGAUGAUGUCGAAUGUUGAGAUGACUUUUAAGCUGAACUGGGCUUCUGCUAGCACUGGUGAUAAGCGUGGAGAUAGUGGUUCUGAUCACACAAUAUUUGUUGGUGAUUUGGCUCAUGGUGUUACUGACUCCAUGUUGGAAGAUGUGUUCAGAGCUAAGUACCCUUCAGUUAGAGGAGCUAAUGUUGUUGUUGAUACUUGAUAGGAUGACUGGAUGGCCCAAAGGAUAUGGUUUCGUGCGUUUUGGAGAUCUGAAUAAUGCAUUGUGAAGAUGUACAUUUGUGCUUGUUUGAUCUGAAAAGGGGACAACUUUUAGAUAUAGCAUAAUAGGAUAUGAAGAUGAAAGAUCUGUACUUAGAAAUUUGUUCAUGAAUGCUUUGUUUGACAUUUAACUUCGUAUGCUGGCAUCUCAGUGUAUUAAGUGUUAAUGUUACAAUUAUUCUUGGAUCAACACCAUUCGAGUA
Molecule: RNA transcript, 2058 nt
Organism: Zea mays
Lineage: Eukaryota; Viridiplantae; Streptophyta; Magnoliopsida; Poales; Poaceae
Gene name: abscisic acid receptor PYL5
Exons: 5
Source: RefSeq, a predicted model, not a curated record